AUCAAAGCGAUGAACAAGAGUAGUAAUUAGACGGAUAAUCCUAGAGAACUGAUGGAUGGUGUAAAUCAGUAUUAGAUAUCUAAUGAACGUGCUUGGGAGCCUUUAGGCAUGUUCUAAAACAUUUAGUAAGUCUAAACGUAUCAGGCGUUAACGAUAAUAAGCUAGAUAUCUUUUUAUCUAGAAUUAAGGUGGUACCACGGAUAUUAAAUUCGUCCUUAGC
Molecule: non-coding RNA, 220 nt
Filed under: Acholeplasma oculi
Lineage: Bacteria; Bacillati; Mycoplasmatota; Mollicutes; Acholeplasmatales; Acholeplasmataceae
Description: T-box sequence
Rfam family: T-box leader
About the family: Uncharged tRNA acts as the effector for transcription antitermination of genes in the T-box leader family. T-boxes are found upstream of many aminoacyl-tRNA synthetase genes and some amino acid biosynthetic genes usually in Gram-positive bacteria.
Source: RNAcentral